GACGAACGCUGGCGGCGUGCUUAACACAUGCAAGUCGAACGAAGUGGCGGACGGGUGAGUAACGCGUGAGGAACCUGCCUUUCAGAGGGGGACAACAGUUGGAAACGACUGCUAAUACCGCAUGCUGAAAGAUGGCCUCGCGUCUGAUUAGCUGGUUGGUGAGGUAACGGCCCACCAAGGCGACGAUCAGUAGCCGGACCGAGAGGUUGACCGGCCACAUUGGGACUGAGAUACGGCCCAGACUCCUACGGGAGGCAGCAGUGGGGAAUAUUGGGCAAUGGGCGCAAGCCUGACCCAGCAACGCCGCGUGAAGGAAGAAGGCUUUCGGGUUGUAAACUUCUUUUAAGAGGGAAGCUGUACCUCUAGAAUAAGCCACGGCUAACUACGUGCCAGCAGCCGCGGUAAUACGUAGGUGGCAGGCGUUGUCCGGAUUUACUGGGUGUAAAGGGCGUGCAGCCGGGAAUGCAAGUCAGAUGUGAAAUCCAUGGGCUUAACCCAUGAACUGCAUUUGAAACUGUAUUUCUUGAGUACUGGAGAGGCAAUCGGAAUUCCUAGUGUAGCGGUGAAAUGCGUAGAUAUUAGGAGGAACACCAGUGGCGAAGGCGGAUUGCUGGACAGCAACUGACGGUGAGGCGCGAAAGUGUGGGGAGCAAACAGGAUUAGAUACCCUGGUAGUCCACACUGUAAACGAUGAAUACUAGGUGUGCGGGCGUGCCGCAGUUAACACAAUAAGUAUUCCACCUGGGGAGUACGAUCGCAAGGUUGCAACUCAAA
This 774-nucleotide ribosomal RNA is filed under the name uncultured bacterium. Its description in RNAcentral is "bacterial SSU rRNA". It matches the Rfam family "Bacterial small subunit ribosomal RNA", at positions 28 to 905 of the family's 1533-position model. The record is from RNAcentral.